GAAUAGGGGAGCCGAAGGGAAACCGAGUCUUAACUGGGCGUUAAGUUGCAGGGUAUAGACCCGAAACCCGGUGAUCUAGCCAUGGGCAGGUUGAAGGUUGGGUAACACUAACUGGAGGACCGAACCGACUAAUGUUGAAAAAUUAGCGGAUGACUUGUGGCUGGGGGUGAAAGGCCAAUCAAACCGGGAGAUAGCUGGUUCUCCCCGAAAGCUAUUUAGGUAGCGCCUCGUGAAUUCAUCUCCGGGGGUAGAGCACUGUUUCGGCAAGGGGGUCAUCCCGACUUACCAACCCGAUGCAAACUGCGAAUACCGGAGAAUGUUAUCACGGGAGACACACGGCGGGUGCUAACGUCCGUCGUGAAGAGGGAAACAACCCAGACCGCCAGCUAAGGUCCCAAAGUCAUGGUUAAGUGGGAAACGAUGUGGGAAGGCCCAGACAGCCAGGAUGUUGGCUUAGAAGCAGCCAUCAUUUAAAGAAAGCGUAAUAGCUCACUGGUCGAGUCGGCCUGCGCGGAAGAUGUAACGGGGCUAAACCAUGCACCGAAGCUGCGGCAGCGACACUAUGUGUUGUUGGGUAGGGGAGCGUUCUGUAAGCCUGUGAAGGUGGCCUGUGAGGGUUGCUGGAGGUAUCAGAAGUGCGAAUGCUGACAUAAGUAACGAUAAAGCGGGUGAAAAGCCCGCUCGCCGGAAGACCAAGGGUUCCUGUCCAACGUUAAUCGGGGCAGGGUGAGUCGACCCCUAAGGCGAGGCCGAAAGGCGUAGUCGAUGGGAAACAGGUUAAUAUUCCUGUACUUGGUGUUACUGCGAAGGGGGGACGGAGAAGGCUAUGUUGGCCGGGCGACGGUUGUCCCGGUUUAAGCGUGUAGGCUGGUUUUCCAGGCAAAUCCGGAAAACCAAGGCUGAGGCGUGAUGACGAGGCACUACGGUGCUGAAGCGACAAAUGCCCUGCUUCCAGGAAAAGCCUCUAAGCAUCAGGUAACAUCAAAUCGUACCCCAAACCGACACAGGUGGUCAGGUAGAGAAUACCAAGGCGCUUGAGAGAACUCGGGUGAAGGAACUAGGCAAAAUGGUGCCGUAACUUCGGGAGAAGGCACGCUGAUAUGUAGGUGAAGCGACUUGCUCGUGGAGCUGAAAUCAGUCGAAGAUACCAGCUGGCUGCAACUGUUUAUUAAAAACACAGCACUGUGCAAACACGAAAGUGGACGUAUACGGUGUGACGCCUGCCCGGUGCCGGAAG
RNAcentral lists this ribosomal RNA (1237 nucleotides) under Escherichia coli. RNAcentral describes it as "partial 23S ribosomal RNA". It matches the Rfam family "Bacterial large subunit ribosomal RNA", at positions 655 to 1875 of the family's 2925-position model. Lineage: Bacteria; Pseudomonadati; Pseudomonadota; Gammaproteobacteria; Enterobacterales; Enterobacteriaceae. The record is from RNAcentral.